UACGUAGGUGGCAAGCGUUGUCCGGAUUCACUGGGCGUAAAGCGCGCGCAGGCGGUCUUCUACGUCUGGGGUGAAAACCCGGGGCUCAACCCCGGGACUGCCUUGGAUACGGGAAGACUUGAGGAUCGGAGAGGCAAGGGGAAUUCCACGUGUAGCGGUGAAAUGCGUAGAGAUGUGGAGGAACACCUGUGGCGAAGGCGCCUUGCUGGCCGAUUUCUGACGCUGAGGCGCGAAAGCGUGGGGGAGCAAACAGG
RNAcentral lists this ribosomal RNA (254 nucleotides) under uncultured bacterium. Its description in RNAcentral is "partial 16S ribosomal RNA". It matches the Rfam family "Bacterial small subunit ribosomal RNA", at positions 524 to 776 of the family's 1533-position model. The record is from RNAcentral.